This 253-nucleotide ribosomal RNA is filed under the name uncultured bacterium. RNAcentral describes it as "partial 16S ribosomal RNA". It matches the Rfam family "Bacterial small subunit ribosomal RNA", at positions 524 to 776 of the family's 1533-position model. The record is from RNAcentral.
UACAGAGGUGUCAAGCGUUGUUCGGAAUUACUGGGCGUACAGGGCGCGUAGGCGGCCUUCUAAGUCAGACGUGAAAUCCCCCGGCUUAACCUGGGAACUGCGUCUGAUACUGGAGGGCUUGAGUGCGGGAGAGGGAUGUGGAAUUCCAGGUGUAGCGGUGAAAUGCGUAGAUAUCUGGAGGAACACCGGUGGCGAAGGCGGCAUCCUGGACCGACACUGACGCUGAGGCGCGAAAGCGUGGGGAGCAAACAGG